Molecule: ribosomal RNA, 498 nt
Filed under: uncultured bacterium
Lineage: Bacteria
Description: partial 16S ribosomal RNA
Rfam family: Bacterial small subunit ribosomal RNA
Source: RNAcentral
AUUGAACGCUGGCGGCAUGCCUUACACAUGCAAGUCGAACGGUAACAGGUCUUCGGAUGCUGACGAGUGGCGAACGGGUGAGUAGUACAUCGGAACGUGCCCGAUCGUGGGGGAUAACUACUCGAAAGAGUAGCUAAUACCGCAUACGAUCUACGGAUGAAAGCGGGGGAUCUUCGGACCUCGUGCGGACGGAGCGGCCGAUGGCAGAUUAGGUAGUUGGUGGGAUAAAAGCUUACCAAGCCGACGAUCUGUAGCUGGGCUGAGAGGACGACCAGCCACACUGGGACUGAGACACGGCCCAGACUCCUACGGGAGGCAGCAGUGGGGAAUUUUGGACAAUGGGCGAAAGCCUGAUCCAGCAAUGCCGCGUGCAGGAUGAAGGCCUUCGGGUUGUAAACUGCUUUUGUACGGAACGAAAAGACUCCUUCUAAUACAGGGGGUCCAUGACGGUACCGUAAGAAUAAGCACCGGCUAACUACGUGCCAGCCGCCGCGGUAA